UCGAGAAACACUUUCUCCGAAUCCUUUGUAAGAAUAUCAAGUAACUUUUUAAAGGAUGGGAGAUCCUACUAGAUCUAUAAGGUAGAGGAUUUACUAUAUAUACUUGCUCAUCUUAAAUAGGUUGUAUAGGUUCUGUAACUCAUUCUUUAGAGAUUUCUCUUGGAGUUCAUCCUCUCAUUGUUUUCAAGAAAAUAGUAUGAU
This 201-nucleotide long non-coding RNA is filed under the name Elaeis guineensis (African oil palm). Its description in RNAcentral is "long non-coding RNA (EGUI_LNC041614)". The record is from RNAcentral. Lineage: Eukaryota; Viridiplantae; Streptophyta; Magnoliopsida; Arecales; Arecaceae.